Molecule: long non-coding RNA, 855 nt
Organism: Hemicordylus capensis (graceful crag lizard)
Lineage: Eukaryota; Metazoa; Chordata; Lepidosauria; Squamata; Cordylidae
Exons: 4
Source: RefSeq, a predicted model, not a curated record
UCCAUGGCAUCAUUAUCAGAAAAUAGCACUAUCUCCCUAAAUGCCUGCCUAGAGGCAAUAAUGGGCUGGAUGAGGAAUAAUAAAUUGAAGCUGAAUGCAAGCAAGAUGGAGGUGCUCAUUGUGGAGGAUUGUAAUCUGGAGAAUGGGAUAUAAUCUUCUGUUCUGGAUGUGGUUACAUUCACCGAGAAAGUACAGCUUCAGUUGACAAGGAAGAGAAGAGAAAAUAAGCUGCAAACAAGUUUGGAUCAAAGAGAAGAGAAAGAAAACCCUUACUAAGUCAGAAUGCCCUAUAGCUGUCAUGCAGAAGACGCCAUACAAAAGAGCAUGGUAUUUGCUUCACUUAGACAGGACAGACACAGCCCUGCAUUUUCAUCUCAUAAACCAGAAGUGUCCCCAAGAACAUCCAGAGGCCUCUAGCAGAUUAUCAAGACUAGAAUUUCAGCUUUGCAAGGGCAUGCAUGGUGAUGUAUAGGAACUAUUACUUAUUAACCAAGAGCAAGGACAAUUCAACCAUAGACCAACACUCUGCACAUCCUUGAUACAUGAUCUCUUCUCCAUCACUUUCUAUGAAACAAGUUGAAAGGCAACUUCUCUGGGCCUUAACAAGCGCUUAGCGUUAAGCUGAGAUUAAAUCAAUAAUGCAGAUCAACUGACAUGGCUGUUAGGUACCUAGAUCUUGGUGGGGUUAGGCUUAGUCAUGAAGCCAUUUGUGGAAUGUCUAAAAGGCAGAGAUGGUAAAUUCAGUUUUGACUGAACAAAAUGGAAGUGUCCCAGUGCAAAUGUAGAGAAAAAUAAUAAAGGUUACUACUGAAGCAGUAGUGAGUUUUCACAAGCUUUCUAAUUAGGGAUAUGCUA